Molecule: ribosomal RNA, 506 nt
Filed under: uncultured bacterium
Lineage: Bacteria
Description: partial 16S ribosomal RNA
Rfam family: Bacterial small subunit ribosomal RNA
Source: RNAcentral
GAUGAACGCUAGCUACAGGCCUAAUACAUGCAAGUCGGACGGGAUCUAUCGGAGAGCUUGCUCGAAGAUAGUGAGAGUGGCGCACGGGUGCGUAACGCGUGAGCAACCUACCCAUAUCAGGGGGAUAGCCCGGAGAAAUCCGGAUUAAGACCGCAUAACACUGUAAUUUGGCAUCAUGUUACAGUUAAAUAUUUAUAGGAUAUGGAUGGGCUCGCGUGACAUUAGCUAGUUGGUGAGGUAACGGCUCACCAAGGCGACGAUGUCUAGGGGCUCUGAGAGGAGAAUCCCCCACACUGGUACUGAGACACGGACCAGACUCCUACGGGAGGCAGCAGUAAGGAAUAUUGGUCAAUGGGCGGAAGCCUGAACCAGCCAUGCCGCGUGCAGGACGACUGCCCUAUGGGUUGUAAACUGCUUUUGUCGAGGAAUAAACCUAUCUACGUGUAGAUAGCUGAACGUACUCGAAGAAUAAGGAUCGGCUAACUCCGUGCCAGCCGCCGCGGUAA